CUAACCAGGAUUUCCCUAGUAACGGCGAGCGAACCGGAAAGAGCCCAGCUUGAAAAUCGUGGUGCCUCGCACCUCGAGUUGUAGUCUGGAGAAGGUCCCUCUGCGGCGCGCCGGACCCAAGUUCCCUGGAAAGGGACGUCAUCGAGGGUGACAACCCCGUCCGUGCCCGGAACGCGUCGCUCCACGAGGACCUGUCUGCGAGUCGGGCUGUUUGGGAAUGCAGCCCUAAUCGGGAGGUAAAUUCCUUCUAAGGCUAAAUAUGGGCAAGAGACCGAUAGCGAACAAGUACCGCGAGGGAAAGAUGAAAAGGACUUUGAAAAGAGAGUUAAAAAGUGCUUGAAAUUGCUGGGAGGGAAGCGAAUGGAAGCUGCGGGUGCACCCCGGUUGGAUGUGGAACGGCUUCGGCUGGUCCGCCGCUCAACGCGGGGCGCUGGUCAGCGUGGGCCACGGCGCCGGGACAAGAGCGGGGAUUCGCUUCCCGCCUAUGCCGGUGCGGUGGCCGAGGAACGAAGCGCGCGCCUCUUGGCGUGGGUUCGCCCAACUGCGCGCUCGGGACGCUGGCGUAUUGAGCUCUUCAUCCGACCCGUCUUGAAACACGGACCAAGGAGUCUAACAUGUAUGCGAGCCGGUGGGCGGCAAACCCAUUGAGGCGCAAGUAAACUGACAGGUGGGACCCCGACCGCAAGGGAGGGAGCACCAUCGACCGACCGUGAUCUUCUGUGAAAGGUUUGAGUGUGAGCAUACCUGUUGGGACCCGAAAGAUGGUGAACUAUGCCUGAGCAGGGCGAAGCCAGAGGAAACUCUGGUGGAGGCUCGUAGCGAUACUGACGUGCAAAUCGUUCGUCAGACUUGGGUAUAGGGGCGAAAGACUAAUCGAACCAUCUAGUAGCUGGUUCCCUCCGAAGUUUCCCUCAGGAUAGCUGGAGCUCGUGUACAAGUUUUAUCAGGUAAAGCGAAUGAUUAGAGGCAUCGGGGGUGUAACACCCUCGACCUAUUCUCAAACUUUAAAUAGGUAAGCCGCCGGGGUUGCUUGGUUGAACCCCGGCACAGAAUGAGAGC
Molecule: ribosomal RNA, 1059 nt
Filed under: Schwetschkeopsis fabronia
Lineage: Eukaryota; Viridiplantae; Streptophyta; Bryopsida; Hypnales; Anomodontaceae
Description: eukaryotic LSU rRNA
Rfam family: Eukaryotic large subunit ribosomal RNA
Source: RNAcentral